Long non-coding RNA from Leopardus geoffroyi (Geoffroy's cat), 1292 nucleotides. RefSeq lists it as uncharacterized. NCBI's taxonomy places the organism in Eukaryota, Metazoa, Chordata, Mammalia, Carnivora, Felidae. The record is from RefSeq and is a predicted model, not a curated record. The transcript has 2 exons.
CCUAGAGACUUCUGAUGCUAGUUUGGGCUCUUUUCACAAAGCCACACCACCUCUCAACAAAGGAAUGGCUUUUCAACUGUUUCAGACCAAGCUAAAAAGAGUAUAUGGUUUGGAACAUCAAAAGACUAGAGCAGGAGCUCCUGACCAUGGAUCGUGGGCUAUAAAGAACCACAGGCCUGUCUCCUGCUGCUGCCCAGUCCAUGAAAACCCAGAGGGCUUCAGGGAGAGGUGACCAGGAAUCCAGCUGGCUGCUUUGUGUUUCUUCCAUCCUUGAGGCUCUUCUUGGACACCAUUUGGUUCGGUCACGACUGCCGCCUGGUGCAAUAAAAUGUUUGGAGCGAGACCAAGGCUUGAGGGAGACAUGGGCUGUGGAGGGAGAUGACUGGAGAGAAAAUAAUCAAAACAAGGAAGAUGAGAGGGAAUAAGAGAAGCCUGUUCAACACUCACACUUCAAAAACACGUGCUGAGGCUCCGUGGCAACAGAACAGCGCUGCUGGCUUCCCGCGUUGCUCUCUGUUUAACAGUUUGGUGUUUGGGGGACUUGAGAAUCCAUUUAGACAAUUCCCAGAAGAAAAAAUGCAAAUGACUCAUAAACAUAUGAAAUAAAUGUUCGACAUCACUUGUAAUCAAAGAAAUGCAAAUAUAAAACAACAAGAUAGCGUUUUCACCUACCAAAUUAACAGAGAUUAAAAGGAAUUCUAGCCGUCAACGGAGGUGGUGAGAUGGCCCAUGUCUCCUUGCUGCAGUGCUAAUUGGUACAACCUUUCUCCUGGGCAGUUUUGCAAUAGGUAGCAAAAGUCUUAAAAAUAUUUAUACUUCUUGGCCCAGUAAUUCUCCUUCUAGCUUCUACCCUAAGGACAUAAGCAGCAAUGUGAGCAAAGAUACGUACUAAUGUAUCAUUGGGAUGUUGUUUACAACAAGAAAAAGAAAAAAAAGUAAAAUGUUAUUUUGUUAUUGAAUAUAUAAUAUAAAUAGGAAAUACACAAAUAUAAAAAUAGAUUACAACAUUCCUUCACUAAUAUUGUGCCACAGAUGAUAUAUUUUAAAGACUAUCGAUAUAAUAUAAACCAAAAACACCAGUAGUGUAUAUAUAGUGUGAUCUUAGUUUUAUGAGAAAAAGAGAGAAAAAAUACAUCAAAAUAUUAACAGAAAUUAUUUCUGUAUAGGUAAUUUCAGUGCAUGUUUAUUUCUUUUUGAUACUUUUCUGUAUUUUCAAAGUUCCCCAUAAUGCACAUAUGCUGAUCAGAAAAUGUAAGCAGCAUUUUAAAUGUGUAAAUAAAGAAUUAAAAGCA